GUGCCAGCCGCCGCGGUAAUACGGAGGGUGCAAGCGUUAAUCGGAAUUACUGGGCGUAAAGCGUACGCAGGCGGUUUGUUAAGCGAGAUGUGAAAGCCCCGGGCUCAACCUGGGAACUGCAUUUCGAACUGGCAAACUAGAGUGUGAUAGAGGGUGGUAGAAUUUCAGGUGUAGCGGUGAAAUGCGUAGAGAUCUGAAGGAAUACCGAUGGCGAAGGCAGCCACCUGGGUCAACACUGACGCUCAUGUACGAAAGCGUGGGGAGCAAACAGGAUUAGAUACCCCCGUAGUCC
RNAcentral lists this ribosomal RNA (292 nucleotides) under uncultured prokaryote. RNAcentral describes it as "partial 16S ribosomal RNA". It matches the Rfam family "Bacterial small subunit ribosomal RNA", at positions 505 to 796 of the family's 1533-position model. The record is from RNAcentral.